GAUGAACGCUGGCGGCGUGCCUAAUACAUGCAAGUCGAGCGAACGGACGAUAAGCUUGCUUCUCUGAUGUUAGCGGCGGACGGGUGAGUAACACGUGGAUCACCUACCUAUAAUACUGGUAUAACUUCGGGAAACCGGAGCUAAUACCGGAUGAUAUUUUGAACCGCAUUGUUCAAAAGUGAAAUUCGGUCUUGCGGUCACGUAUAGAUGGAUCCGCGCUGCAUUAGCUAGUUGGUAAGUUAACGGGUUACCAAGGCAACGAUGCAUAGCCGAAGUGAGAGAGGGAUCGGCCGCAUUGGAGCUGGAACGCGGACAUGAGGACUGAGGGAGGGAGCAGUAGGGAACGGCAGGCAGCAGGCGAAAGCAUGACGGAGCAGCGGCGAGUGUGAGACGAAGGUCUCCGGAGCGGAAAACUCGGUUAUUAGGGAAGAACCGCUGUGUAAGGAGAUGUACAGAUAUUGACGGUAACUGGUAAGAAAGCAACGGCUAACUACGUG
This 497-nucleotide ribosomal RNA is filed under the name uncultured bacterium. RNAcentral's name for it is "partial 16S ribosomal RNA". It matches the Rfam family "Bacterial small subunit ribosomal RNA", at positions 28 to 507 of the family's 1533-position model. The record is from RNAcentral.